Molecule: non-coding RNA, 94 nt
Organism: Mycena vulgaris
Lineage: Eukaryota; Fungi; Basidiomycota; Agaricomycetes; Agaricales; Mycenaceae
Source: the annotation of a GenBank genome assembly
GGCUCGAUGGCGAAUGGUCCGCAUCUGCACUGCCUGUCUGUUUCUGGCACCCUGUCCAAGGCAGAAGAUCCUCGUUCGACUCGGGGUCGAGCCA